GAUGAACGCUGGCGGCGUGCCUAAUACAUGCAAGUCGAGCGAACGGACGAGAAGCUUGCUUCUCUGAUGUUAGCGGCGGACGGGUGAGUAACACGUGGAUAACCUACCUAUAAGACUGGGAUAACUUCGGGAAACCGGAGCUAAUACCGGAUGAUAUUUUGAACCGCAUGGUUCAAAAGUGAAAGACGGUCUUGCUGUCACUUAUAGAUGGAUCCGCGCUGCAUUAGCUAGUUGGUAAGGUAACGGCUUACCAAGGCAACGAUGCAUAGCCGACCUGAGAGGGUGAUCGGCCAAACUGGAACUGAGACACGGUCCAGACUCCUACGGGAGGCAGCAGUAGGGAAUUUUCCGCAAUGGGCGAAAGCCUGACGGAGCAACGCCGCGUGAGUGAUGAAGGUCUUCGGAUCGUAAAACUCUGUUAUUAGGGAAGAACAUAUGUGUAAGUAACUGUGCACAUCUUGACGGUACCUAAUCAGAAAGCCACGGCUAACUACGU
Molecule: ribosomal RNA, 496 nt
Filed under: uncultured bacterium
Lineage: Bacteria
Description: partial 16S ribosomal RNA
Rfam family: Bacterial small subunit ribosomal RNA
Source: RNAcentral